CCAUUGAUGGUUCAGUGGUAGAUUUCUUGCCUUCCAUGUGGGAGAACUGGGUUCAAUUCCCAGCCAGUGCA
RNAcentral lists this transfer RNA (71 nucleotides) under Loxodonta africana (African savanna elephant). It matches the Rfam family "tRNA". Rfam says of the family: Transfer RNA (tRNA) molecules are approximately 80 nucleotides in length. Their secondary structure includes four short double-helical elements and three loops (D, anti-codon, and T loops). Further hydrogen bonds mediate the characteristic L-shaped molecular structure. tRNAs have two regions of fundamental functional importance: the anti-codon, which is responsible for specific mRNA codon recognition, and the 3' end, to which the tRNAs corresponding amino acid is attached (by aminoacyl-tRNA synthetases). tRNAs cope with the degeneracy of the genetic code in two manners: having more than one tRNA (with a specific anti-codon) for a particular amino acid; and 'wobble' base-pairing, i.e. permitting non-standard base-pairing at the 3rd anti-codon position. The record is from Rfam by way of RNAcentral. Lineage: Eukaryota; Metazoa; Chordata; Mammalia; Proboscidea; Elephantidae.